RNAcentral lists this ribosomal RNA (774 nucleotides) under uncultured Neocallimastigales. RNAcentral's name for it is "partial large subunit ribosomal RNA". It matches the Rfam family "Eukaryotic large subunit ribosomal RNA", at positions 23 to 647 of the family's 3401-position model. The record is from RNAcentral. Lineage: Eukaryota; Fungi; Neocallimastigomycota; Neocallimastigomycetes; Neocallimastigales.
AGAGAGAGACAUGCGCGCAUAUCAAUAAGCGGAGGAAAAGAAACUAACAAGGAUUCCCCUAGUAACGGCGAGUGAAGCGGGAAGAGCUCAAAUUUGAAAUCUUAAAGGGUUUCCCUUUACGAAUUGUAGUUUAAAGAAGUGUUUUCUGUUGAGGUUUUGGUAAAAGUUCUUUGGAAUAGGACAUCAUAGAGGGUGAGAAUCCCGUAUUUGACCUUUACUUUCAACUUUGUGAUACACUUUCAAAGAGUCGGAUUGUUUGGGAAUGCAGUCCAAAAUGGGUGGUAAAUUUCAUCUAAAGCUAAAUAUUGGCGAGAGACCGAUAGCGAACAAGUACCGUGAGGGAAAGAUGAAAAGAACUUUGAAAAGAGAGUUAAACAGUACGUGAAAUUGUCAAAAGGGAAGCGUUUGACACCAGUGUUGUUUUUCUGAAAAUCAAUUAAAGAACUGUUUAUGCUAAGCUGUUUAGACUUUAUCAGCUAUCUGUUUAGUUUUGAGCUUUUCUUUAAUGCACUUUUCAGUUAACAAGUCAACAUCAAUUUCUUUUGCUGUAAAAAAGCUUGAGGAAGGUGGCUUGAGACUCGUCUUAAGUGUUUAUAGCCUCUUGCCUAUGCAGUCGGAGAGAUUGAGGUCUGCAGCGUAGAUCCUUCGGGGCUAAAUGCAUUUGUGCUAAGUUAUAGCAUUUUAUAGACAACUUGUUGACUAUGAUUUGUCUUGUAGCUUACUCGCUUAUGUUAUUUUACCUACGCUUAGGAUGUUGACGCAUGAGAUAUACGC